UUCAUGUGGAAUGCUUGUUCCACGGGAUUUGGGAAGACCAUAGUUGUUGAACUUUGACAUCUACAAUACGGGAGAAAACAAAUUCAAGUUAGUUGAUUGAUUGAGUCCUUAGUAAAUCACCCAAAUGAGAUACUAAGGCUAGGACCCAACACAAUAUUCUACAACUCGGGAGAGGGAUGCCGUAACCCUAAUUGCAGAAUAUUUGAAGGUAAGUGAAUGACGAUUCACUAAUUUCCACCAUGAAAAACGAAAAAGAAAUUUAAGUUUUAAAUCUAUGAAAACUCCUAGAUCCUUUGAGAUUCAUUGAACUUUCAAUGGCAUGUUUAAAUCUCGAUAUGCCCCUCUUGUUUGUGACUGGGAUGCCGAGGAUCACAAAGCGGGUGUGAAUAACCAUGCAAACUUACAUGGUGCCCUCACAUGUUACAGUCACCUAUUCGAUGUGCCGGUAAACCACACACGCUCCACCGAACUAUGACAAACAUUGAGUCACCCUUUGCUACCUUUGCUUAGAACCAUUUAGUGUGCCGGUAAACCACACACACUCCACUAACGUCUUCGCAAGGGCACAAAGUGUAAUUUCAUUGAAUUGCAUCAAUUCACUUUUGCCUAAGUAACUAAGAUUGGGAAUUUGUAAAACAUUUAGUUACUUUUGUACUUCAUUAUACUUAUAAUGGAAGGUUUUGUUCUAUGCUACCCGUUCGGCUAACGACCCUGCACUAGUCAAGAGUGCGGUAGGUAAGAGUGGAUACUCAUUCAAUCACCAUUUUAUAGGCAAUUUCCUUAAACACCCCUUAUAGACCAGCUUCGUGAAUGAGGCCUACUAACGGUAAGACUGACUUUUACUCAUACAUAUAUAUAAUGUUAGACUUUUAAUGUUAUAUAUAGUAUAGGGUGUAUUUUACACUUUUAAAAUACUAGGUGGUCAAAUUUAACAAUUAUACUUUUAAUUCAAUUAAAUUGUAAACCAAAACUUUUAUGGAUUUAUUAAACCUCUUUUAAUUAUACACCUUAAUUAAUUAAUAAAACCAUAAGGGUGUGAUUUGAACUUUUCAAAACAAUACUAGGGUUUUAGAAUUUAACAUUCCUAAAUUAAACUUUUAAUCAACUUUUAAAUUCCAAAACUUGAGGGCAAGUUUUGAAACAUUUCAAAACAUUAGGGUUUAGAAUUUAAAUAUACAUCAAAAUUAAACUAUUAAUCAAAAUUUAAAUUCCAAAACUUGAGGGCAAGUUUUGAAACCUUUUUCAAAACAUUAGGGUUUCAACUAUUUAAAUUUCAAAACAACAAAACUUUUGGGUUCAAAUUUAAACUAUAAAACCUAAAGGGGAAAAUAUGAAACAUUUCAUAACAACAGGAUCAAAUAACAAAUAAUCUAAAUUAACAUUUAAUCACAUAAUUAUCCAUAUUUGAUUUAUUUAAUGAUUUCUUGCAAAACAAUUUAUCAAUUUAGUCAAAAUAAUUAAUCAAUUAUCACAUAAGGAAACAAAUAUCUUAUUAAUUGAUAAAUAUCUUCAAUUAGAUCAAGAAUAUAGUCAAAUAUAUCAUAAAAUCGGAUUUAUAUUGAUCUAAUAUGAUAAGGUAACUAUCCUUAAGCAAAAACAGCAAGAAAUCCCGGUUUUCCCUCCUUCUGACCAGCCGACUCGCCGAGUCAGGCAUGGACUCGUCGAGUCAGCAUGGACUCGGCGAGUUCAUCUAUGGACUCGGCGAGUUCAGCAAGCAGAACCACAAAAAACGAAUUUUUUCAACAUACAAGGCAUCAAUACAAUAGAAACCAAUCUAGGCUCUGAUACCACUGAUGGGUUUUGGUCAUAAGAACAUCCUAUGUGCUCAUACAAACCCUAAUGCUUGGAUCUAGGUUUCUCUAUUGUACAUGCAAGUUAUCCAAGACUAUAAACCCUAAUUCUAGCAUACAAGUAAUCAUAUUAACAUAAGAAUGGGUUUAAGAUAUUACCUUGAUUGUUAUGUAGCAAUAACAAUCCCAAAUCUCCUUGUAUUGACUUUAGAAAGCUUAGAGUCACAAAUGUCACUCCUCUAAUGGUUCACAAACACCAUAAGCAAGAGGAUGAAGAGGAGAGAGGAUGGAGGCUGCCCAAAAACGUGUGAAACCCUAGAAGAAAGCUUAGCCACGUUUUUGGUCCUUAAGGGGUCUAUAUAUAGUGAGGCUAUUAGGGUUAUCUAACAAGGAAACCCUAAUUUGGAUGCUUAAGCCCUAAGCAACCCAUGGACUCCUUUCCUUAAGGCCUUGGACGAUUUCAUAUGGGCUUCCCCCAUAGAAUUCGUCCACCUUAUAAUAAAAGGCAAUCCAUGGCCCAAAUUGCAAUUAUCUUAUAAUUACAAUUCCAGUCCCUUAAGUUUAAUUAAUCUCUUUUAGUCACAAAACUAAUUACCAAUUAAUUAUUGACUAAUAUUAAUUAAACAAUAUGAUUUCUCCUUUAAUAUAUUAUUCUCAUAAUAUAUUAAUAAAUCAUAUUUAAUCCUUUCUCUCCAUAAUUCAUCCUAUCAAGUUGCUUUGGUGAAGGCAACCCAAAAGGACCAUGCACCAUCGGGUCAAGUACAUACCAAAAUAGUUAUGGACUUAGACACUAAUCCAACAGUCUCCCACUUGGAUAAGUCUAAUAACUAUUAUGCGUAUGACUUCAGAUCCUGAUCUGCAAUCGUAGCUUUCCAAAGCCGCUGUCAACUCUGAUCCUAUCAGAUACGCGUGUCCUUAGAUAAGGGAUCAUAUAUUCCUCCAUUCUAGAUAUCAUAUGAGAUAUGAUUUCAAAUCAUUCUCUUUGUACUAUAUCUCGAUUCCCGAUUUAUGACGACUGACUAAUUGAACAAAUCAAAUUAGCCCUAGCCCGGCCGAGCAUUUACGUUUGUCAUCACUAAAUCAUCGAGGGGCCCAAAGAUAUCGCUUUUAUCCUACUUUGGAUAAAAGGAACGGAUAAACUUUGAUACAAUGCUUGCUUGCACUCACUCACCGAAUCACACACAACAAUAUGUUUUAUAACACCAAGUUACUAGUGCGUUUACAUAUUAUCAAUGUGCAACCGAUUUGCAAGAUACAACUCACACAUCUCGGUUUCAAGAAUAUAAGAUGUUAUCGUCUCACCAAUCACUCGUGAUACAAUUCAUGGAGUGAUCCAAGUGAGCGUGGGUUUAAUCCAAUGCUCAAAUCAUAUUCAUAAGCACUCAUGAACGUUGCAGCAAACAUUUGCUUAUGUCUAAUACUCUUUAGACAAUCCACACACCAAUUCACGACAGUCUUCAUUCAUACCUACUUCCAACAUAUGAACGACUGUGGCCCGUUCGAAUAAUUUGACUGUUCUUAACCAAUUAAAUUAUUCAGGAAGUCAAAACAUGCAAAGUGAAACACAAGAAUAAUACUAAUCCCAUAUGGCCUCAAACCUUUGAGUAUAAAUAAAACACCUUUUAUUUAUCACCAUAUCGAUUACUCAUUAUUUGUCGUUUCGGGUAAUCAACUUCUUACUUGAAUUAUUACACUUGUCCCAUGCUCCUAGCAUGCACACAAUGUUUACCUAUGGUUCUUACUUUGUGAAAUAGAUCAAAUUGAACACAUUUCCAAUCAUUCUCAUUUCACAACUCCAAAUCCUUUUUCAUAAGUGAAAGAAUAUCAAAUUCUUGCUACUUAUAGAAUAUGCUAGAUUCUAACAUUUUAUGCAAUGAUCUUUUCGUAAUGUCACUGCACCAAAGUCACAAAGACUAUUGCCAAUGAUAUUACAAAGUCCUCUAUCGGAGAUUGUUACAAGACAAUUCCUUAGAUAUGAUGUCUCUCACUCAAAGUACAUUCCUUUGAACAUCCUUUUGCAUAAAAGUUUCUAAUCUAGACAUAGAUUUUCAAUAUUCAAUUCCCAAUAUGGACACGUUUCCAUAUUUUCCAUAUGACAACUCAUUCUUAAUAGAAUCUUAUCUAUUCAUAAUAAUGUCGAUAUGGUCCAUCCAAUAUGGAAACAUUUCCAUAUUUUCCAAUACUAUACUUCCAACUACUCACAAGCGACCAAUCCUCGUCGAACUUUGGAUUGUCCUUUGAUAGUUGUUUAAUUAUUUUAGUCAAAACCGAUUCUAGUCCUUUUUCCCUCUAAAUGCGCUAGACAUUUGGAAAAUUUUAGAAUGGUCAAACAUUAAAGCAUUUGCAAUCGAUCCUAUACCCGAAGCGUAUGGGACACGACGCAUAAUGUUUUAUUUGCUAUGUUCUCAAAAUUCGAAUUGUGAAGAGGAAUGCCGUAAUCAUAAUCGAAAUUUUAAGAACACACUAUGUACCUUUGACUAAAUUUAUUAACAUUUCUCAACCUAAUCCUUUAGAUUUGAAAUGAAGCAUAAUAUUCUCUCCCUUAAUUAUAGCAAAACAACUUUUCAACUCUUACAACUUUGCAAAGUAUGACUCUUGUUUUCUAUAAUUAAUAUUGCUAACCUUGCAAUACUUUCCUUAAUAAUCAUACAAUCAUAACAUUUAUGCUCCCACUAUCAUGAUGAUUAUUAUAAAACAUAACACUUAUGCUCCCACUAGCUUCGACAUGUAUUCAUAAACAUCUUAACUUUCAGAAAACAAUACUUAUUGAAUUUCUUAAGUUCAUGUUUCUAAUACUUAGUGCUUUGAUAAUCCUUUAUCAAUGCUUCUUGAACUUAUACACCUUUGCCUUCGAUAGUUCAUAUGUGUGUCUAAACAAUUAAGACUAAUUGCCAAACCUCACAAUUCAAAUUAUGGAAAGGGAUGCCGUAACCAUAAUUGAAUUCGAGAAUGCAAUUUUACAAUCACUAUCUUCUUAAAAUCUUUCUUAGUGAAAGCAUUUCCUCACAAUCAUUUUCAUGAAGGAGGAAAUCUUAUGACACUUAGAUUUAAACGGUGUAUGUGUUCCUAUCCAUGUGAAUUUGUUAAAACCAAAGUUUACGACAAAUUCAAACUCAUAUGGACCGAACUUUCUUAAUCUUGAUUUCUUGCCUUAUGGUAGCACAGCUGCCCACCAUGUCUUCCAAGUAGUUAAGCAGCUCACCUUUUCCUAUCAAUGUACCUUUCAUUGAUUAAGGUGCUUUGCCUUUUAUGCGUUCAAAAUGAGAACUCAUAGAACUCACAUGCAUAAUUAACUCGAUUGGAUUGGCACAGAAUCAAAAUAAUGUCAACACGAUAGGUUGUAAACCUCAACUCGUGUGCUAGUGAUGAUCGAUAAGGUUUAUUUGAUUUGUUCUUGAAACCUUUCAAGACCAUUAAGACUCCCACUGACUCCUUGACAUAUAAGAUUCUCUUGUCAAUAACCAUUUCUUGACAAACAAAUAUUCAAGAGUUAGUGUAGCUUUUAUCAAAACACUUCAUAAAUUGGUCCUAGUUGGUCUUUGUCUUAUCCAAGACAUCACAACUUUCCACAUUUGAUGAAUGUUAUAAACCUUCUUAAUACUUAUCACUCAAUGUCACAAUCUUAACUCUAAGACUUGUUUUGGAACGAAGUAUGAUUGACUUCUUGAUUUAACCAUUUCUUCAAUUCUUGAUUCCUCUACUUAGACAUACAAUUGUACUAAGAUUCACUUAGAGGAUCAAUUGAGAUAUGGUUCUUAAUCAUUAAGACCUAUCAUAAAGCAUAAAAGGUACUCUCCCUUCUUCUUAGAAUGCAGAACCUUUUAUCUUUCUGCCUACUUGAUUUUUCUUAUUCGUUCUGCCAAUGAUUUAAACCUGUUAAUCAAUUCCGAAUUACACUUAAUCUUAUAAGUAUAAUCAUAUUCACUAAACCUUUAGUAAAUCAUGACGAAUAUCUUUGUUACUCUUAUGGUGAACUUGAUCAACACACAACUUUGUGUGCUCGAUCUCCUAGUCCUUCACUUGACACUUUGUCAACGAAUUAGUCUAAUUUCCAAAUAUGAAAUUUCUCAUUCAUCGUGCAACCAAGUUGCAUGAUUCCAAGUUUCUGUCCAAUUGAAACUUGGGCGAUGAGAAACUCUCCCUAUUUGGUAAAUUCUCGACUUUCCAUAAAUAACAUAAUAAGAACCAAAUCCAUUAUUGCUAAUAAUAGAAACAUUCAAACAUCAAUUUUUCAUAUACGCCAUUGCAAGGAUAAAUAAAUAAUAUAAAAUCAAAAUUUAUUUUAUUGCGGAAAAAAUUUGUCCUUACAAUGCAAUUCAUUGAAAAACUAUGCUAAUACAUCUUUCUUAGCAAUCUAAUUCUAACUCUAAGUAGUAGCUCAAGAAUCUAAUCUUCGAGAAAUGCGAUCGAAAUCCAUUCCUUCACGGUUAGAUUCUGCUCACUUCUUCCCUUAAGCUUCCUUUCUUUUCUUCGAUCCUACAAAACAUCAAUUGUAAUCUUAUCACAUUAUGUAUUAAGAAUCUAGAAUAGAAGCUUAAAAGAGUUAGUUAAUGGAUUUUACCUAUAUUAGAGCCAUACGUUUCGACUCUCCCAUCUCUUAGAUCUCUUAGGUAAAUGGGGCAGCUUCGUCUCCAAUGCCCUUUCUCUUGGCAAUAAAAGCAAAUUGACUCUUUUGGAACAUGACAUGGAACUACUUCAGACAUUGCCUUUCUCUUAUGAUCAAACUUUUCGAUCAUAGCAUGUCUUUCGUUGCCAUUGUCUAUAUCCAUAGAGGUCUUGAAGGCAGAUUCACCAAUCAACUUUGCUUUUCUAUUGCGCCAAACCAUUGCUGAUUCAGCAGCAAUAAGCAUAUAGGUGAGAUCUAUAAGGGUCACGUCGCGGUUCAUCAUAUAGUACUCUCUUACGAACUCACUAUAUGAGUUAGGAAGUGACUGAAGAACCCAAUCAACAGCCAUUUCCUCACAGACAACGGAUCCCAACAUUCUUAACCUAUCAAUGUGUGACUUCAUCCCUAGGACGUGUGCACACACCGACUUUCCUUCUUUAUGUUUACUUGCCAAAAGGGCUUGAGUGAUCUUGAACUUUUCAAGCCUUUGAACUUGUGGGUUAGGGAGAAUAAUUGGAGGAGGAGGAGGAAGUGAAGCAUGAUUUCUUGUUCCUCGAUCGAAUCGUGGAAUAUCAUCUUCAUGUGGAAUGCUUGUUCCACGGGAUUUGGGAAGACCAUAGUUGUCGAACUUUGACAUCUACAAAACGGGAGAAAACGAAUUCAAGUUAGUUGAUUGAUUGAGUCCUUAGUAAAUCACCCAAAUGAGAUACUAAGGCUAGGACCCAACACAAUAUUCUACAACUCGGGAGAGGGAUGCCGUAACCCUAAUUGCAGAAUAUUUGAAGGUAAGUGAAUGACGAUUCACUAAUUUCCACCAUGAAAAACGAAAAAGAAAUUUAAGUUUUAAAUCUAUGAAAACUCCUAGAUCCUUUGAGAUUCAUUGAACUUUCAAUGGCAUGUUUAAAUCUCGAUAUGCCCCUCUUGUUUGUGACUGGGAUGCCGAGGAUCACAAAGCGGGUGUGAAUAACCAUGCAAACUUACAUGGUGCCCUCACAUGUUACAGUCACCUAUUCGAUGUGCCGGUAAACCACACACGCUCCACCGAACUAUGACAAACAUUGAGUCACCCUUUGCUACCUUUGCUUAGAACCAUUUAGUGUGCCGGUAAACCACACACGCUCCACUAACGUCUUCGCAAGGGCACAAAGUGUAAUUUCAUGGAAUUGCAUCAAUUCACUUUUGCCUAAGUAACUAAGAUUGGGAAUUUUAUGAAAACAUUUAGUUACUUUUAUACUUCAUUAUACUUAUAAUGGAAGGUUUCGUCCUAUCCUACCCGUUC
This 7675-nucleotide long non-coding RNA is filed under the name Lactuca sativa (garden lettuce). RNAcentral's name for it is "long non-coding RNA (LSAT_LNC005653)". Lineage: Eukaryota; Viridiplantae; Streptophyta; Magnoliopsida; Asterales; Asteraceae. The record is from RNAcentral.